RNAcentral lists this ribosomal RNA (422 nucleotides) under uncultured bacterium. Its description in RNAcentral is "partial 16S ribosomal RNA". It matches the Rfam family "Bacterial small subunit ribosomal RNA", at positions 360 to 775 of the family's 1533-position model. The record is from RNAcentral.
AAUAUUGGACAAUGGGCGAAAGCCUGAUCCAGCCAUGCCGCGUGUGUGAAGAAGGUCUUCGGAUUGUAAAGCACUUUAAGUCGGGAGGACGGGCAGGAAGUUAAUACCUUGCUGUUUUGACGUUACCGACAGAAUAAGCACCGGCUAACUUCGUGCCAGCAGCCGCGGUAAUACGAAGGGUGCAAGCGUUAAUCGGAAUUACUGGGCGUAAAGCGCGCGUAGGUGUUUUGAAAGAUGGAAGUGAAAGCCCCGGGCUCAACCUGGGAACUGCUUUCAAAACUGGAAAGCUAGAGUAUGGCAGAGGGUGGUGGAAUUUCCGGGGUAGCGGUGAAAUGCGUAGAUAUAGGAAGAAACACCAGUGGCAAAGGCGACCACCUGGGCUAAUACUGACACUGAGGUGCGAAAGCGUGGGGAGCAAACAG